Long non-coding RNA from Dermacentor albipictus, 2697 nucleotides. RefSeq lists it as uncharacterized. The record is from RefSeq and is a predicted model, not a curated record. NCBI's taxonomy places the organism in Eukaryota, Metazoa, Arthropoda, Arachnida, Ixodida, Ixodidae.
AACAACAGCACUGCAGCGACGGGGCGGUCACGAUGUCGGUAUUGGGAGCGAUUACGGAGUCGCCAUCUGUUGGAAGCGCCUCACAUGCGUCGGCGCUAAAUAAACAUACUACGCGGCAGCCCUCCUGAACAAUUGUGCAAGUACUCUAGAAAUGGCAGUAUUUUACCUUUAAAAUAAUAAUGUUGGACAAACAGAAAGCACAAAAUGGUUUACAGACGCUAUCUGCCUACUACGUACAGUAAGCUGGGACACUGCGCGCGGUCGCCGCGAUCGAUUCCCCCGAACCGUUUUGCGUGAAACGUAAGCAAUCGCCGAGAAAACUAUGUGAAGUAUGUUCUUAUGGUGGGAUGGCUAUUUGUGUAACUAAAUGUAGCAUAACAGUUAAUGCAGCGAUCGCGCGGGUUCACGGUGACCGACUUCGCGUCUGCAUGCAUGUCCUCGCACGAUGUUUCGCUUUCGCUCCGAGCACGUUUUCGCACCGUGCCUGAGCUUUAUGCCGCAGCAUAUGCGCAUUUGACAGUACGCAAGCAACCAUUGUUGCAUGGACACUAUCGGAGCUGUUCAAAAAUAAUUUCGUUAUAGCUAGGGUAUUCGACGCCUACGGCGAAUUGUGAUGUUCCGUCGUGAUGAUUCAGUCUUAAUUUUCUUUUUCUUUUCUUCUAAAGUAUUGGAAGCUUCAAUAUCAUUAUUUCUCAAAUUUCAUCGAACUGCAUGUUUAUCGGUUCUCUAAGCGACCCACUGAUUCUUUUUCUUAAUUCAGUAGAAUAUUCAUUGUCUGGCGUUACACAAGCAGGAACAUGUGCCGUGCCUUUUUUAUGUGUUUUUUAUCAUUCCCCUUCCAUUACAGUGAACCUUCUUUCUUUAUUAUAAUCAUCAUAGGUGUUACAGUGCAUACGCAAAAGAUUGUUGGACCCAAUAACCGCAAGCUAGUGGUUGGGUCCGGAUGUGAAAUAUAAUGGGGACAGUACUGCAAUAAAAUAUCGCGGUCCGUGAAGUGCUCGGCAUCCCCAUAGACGCCAGCACCACGAAGCUCAUGCAGCUGGGGGUCAACAACACCUUCCAUGAGGUUGAGUCACAGAAAUUAGUCCAGGUUGUCAGGCUCGCUUCCUCGCCUGCGGGCAGGCGGAUCCUGGAGGCGCUGGACUUUAACCCGUCAGGGAAAGGCGGUGCGCGCUCGACGCGUGGUCGCGGGAGGCCGUCACGGUCUCGCUGUUGCCGCACAACAUGCACGGCCCGCAACGCAAUGUAGGCAGACGCCGGGCCCGGGCGGCCGCACUUCUCGGAUCCGCCGCCGACGAUCCACGAUCGGUCGCGUUCGUCGACGUCGCCCAAUACGGUUCGUCCGACCGGUUCGCAGCGGCCGUUGUGGAUCACAGGGGCAACCUAACGCCGCGUCCGUGCGGAGGUCCAUUCUGCCCUUUAGAACACAUGCUCUGGCGGUGUCCCUCGUUACGGGACCACGAUCAUCACACCACGGAAGAGUGAGAGGAGGCGGUCAGGUACGGCCUGCCCGUCCCAACGUGGGAGCGGCUCGCGGCGGCCCCUCCCUCAUAAGAGAGUUUCGGAGUCGCUCCUUAGGACCUUAAUAAGGUUCACUGCCUGCCGUGAAGUGCUCGAAGUUGUUUGCAUAGAAUGCUGUUUGAAAGAAGUGCGGCCAUUGACGUCGCUACAGUGUUGAUGUUAAAGUGGAGACGGGCCCCGUCACUGCAGGGCAGAUGUUAAAGCGCCGGGCCCCGUCACUGUAGUACAGAUGUUAAAGUGCCGGGCCCCGUCACUGUAGUACAGAUGUUAAAGUGCCGGGCCCCGUCACUGUAGUCACUACCAUUUAAAUAGGAGCACCGGAGAUCAUAGAGUUAGUAGAACAACUCUAGAGGAAAAGCUGGGCCGGAAAAGUGGGAACCUCUAGGGCGCCGCCCUGUUGCUACUGGUCAAUGUGGCCAGCGCAAUUACUAUUGAAAGAGCUGAAAACAAGUACAGGUCACCUUAUGCUUUGUCAUCUAAAACGCGUAUUUGAUGGCUUUAUGAAGGUGGUGCGUUAAUAUUAAGUUUACAGAAAGCGAUCGCUAAGUCCGUGACUUAUGUAAAUCACGAUGUACGCAUUCAUGCAAUAAAGGAUGACGCGAAUUUCGGUUUCGAAUCUGUGUUUUGGAUGCGUAGUAGUUUCGUUUAGGUUUGACCUGCGAUCGCGCGUCGACAUCGGACGCUAUGGCAACGUGCCUUAUGUGCCACCGAAGCCCCGAAGUGGUCUGGCAUAUACCUUCACAUACAAUGCCUACGCCUAGCCACAGCAGCUCCCUCAUACAGACUCCGCAAGCCAAGAGGCCAUGGAGGCAAAUGCAGGCAGCCAGCACACCCCGGACAGCCACCUUGACUGCGGGUGUAUCACCCUAGUCACCAAGGAAACAUCUGAGGGAAAGCAACAGGCAAUGUGAACAGCCACUUCUCCAUCUAAACAAUACUCUUUCUCUCGGAUGACUCCUACGCCUCGCCACGCCAGCACACUUGUGCACAAAGAUGCCGCGGAGGCACGUGCAGGUCAGAGGCAAGAAGCAGUGGCACUGGUGUCGACAUUCACCUAAUUUUUUUUACUUACACCGAGGCAGCCAGCACACCUCGAACAGCCACCUUGACUGCGGGUGUGUCAGUAGAUUCCUGUCGUACAUAUGCUCAUAAUAAACUUGAUGGCAAAUGGGACAA